ACCGUGCUGGGUCUUUCCCCCAGCCACUUGAAGGUCGGAGGUACGAGGCCGGCCUCGGGGACCAGAAGCUUCCAGGCCCUCAGUCUCCUCAUCUGUGACAUGAGACCAGUACCACCUGCCCUAGUUCGAGCACAGGGCCGUCAGGAAGAUCACACGAGAUUCGUGAAGGAGAUGCUCCUUUUGGCAAGGUUGGGGCCAAGGUGAAGAACAGGUGACCGGAAGAGGGACAGCAUCCCAGGGGCUGGUGUCUGGCCACGUACAGCGUCGCUGGAGCUGAAAAGCAUGGUUCUGCAUUGGCUCCGUGACAUAUCCUGACACGUUGGACCAAAGAAAACACAAAAUGAAAACGAAACAACGUUCCACC
Long non-coding RNA from Artibeus jamaicensis (Jamaican fruit-eating bat), 364 nucleotides. RefSeq lists it as uncharacterized. The transcript is spliced from 3 exons. NCBI's taxonomy places the organism in Eukaryota, Metazoa, Chordata, Mammalia, Chiroptera, Phyllostomidae. The record is from RefSeq and is a predicted model, not a curated record.